GGAAGGAUCAUUUCCAUAACGAUAUGGAGGACUUGAGGAUAGAUAGAGUAGUAACAUUCUUCUUCUUCAAUGUCCUCUGAUAUAUCUAUCAACUGUGAAAAAGUAAUAUAUAACAUUAUAAUCUCUGCUAAACACAAUCUGCUACAAUUUCGCAAGAAAUUAAACAUAGCAAACGAUACAACUUUUAACAAUGGAUCUCUUGGCUCUUGCAUCGAUGAAGAACGCAGCGAAAUGCGAUACGUAAUGCGAAUUGCAUGAUUUGCGAGUCAUCGAAUCUUUGAACGCACAUUGCACUUUGCCUAACAGCAAAGUAUAUCUAUUUGAGUGAUUGUAGGCAACACCUAUGUUGCGGAGACAUCCUGUAACUUCUAUUUCAACGUUCAUCGUAGUUAUAGUGUAAUAGUGCAGUUGUCGACAAUACAUAGGGAUCUUGAGUGAUCAAGAAUGUACUUUCUUGUCGCUUUAAAUGUAUUUCAGAGCUUGUGUUUUCCGCAUGCCAUCUAUAAAGGAUGCAUUUGCUAGUCUAGCAUUGUUUCUCUACCUUUUCGAGGAAGGGAAGCCGAUGUGCCAGAACGUAGCUUGCGCGCAACUCAGUGAGUACUAUGUGGUCGAAGCUUUAUUGCAUCGGCUCGUUGCCCACUAUUAGCCGUAUUCAUGCGUUUCGCUUUCGGUAGAUGUUUGCACUUAGCUUUGCAUAUACUAAUAGUGGUUGGAAAAUCGCAGCAACAAUUUUCAAUAUACGAAAUAACCAAAGGUAUAUUGUGAAGAUUGGAAAUAAUCAUCUUGUAUUACAUGAAGAAUACCUCAAAUUAGAUAAGACUACCCGCUGAACUUAAGCAUAUCAGUAAGCGGAGGAAAAGAAAGUAACAACGAUUCCCUUAGUAACGGCGAGUGAAGCGGGAAUAGCUCAACGUGGAAAUCGUGCAUAGCAAUAUGCUACGAGUUGUAGUUGGGAGAAAUACGGUCUGUGUGGCGAUUGCGUACAAGUCCUUUGGAAAAGGGCAUCAUAGAGGGUGACAAUCCCGUCCAUGACGCAAUUGAUAUACUUUGAACCGUACUUUCGUAGAGUCGGGUUGUUUGGGACUGCAGCCCAAAGCAGGUGGUAAAUUUCACCUAAAGCUAAAUAUUGGCAAGAGACCGAUAGCGAACAAGUACCGUGAGGGAAAGAUGAAAAGAACUCUGAAGAGAGAGUUAAAAGUACGUGAAAUUGUUAAAAGGGAAGCGAUCUGGAUCGGUAAUUGCUCUGUCAGAUUCAAGAAAGCCUUAAUCGGCCUUUUGCACUUCUGACUGAGCAGCACCAACAUCGAUUACGGAUGCUAUAAGCGCUUUGGUAGAAGGUAGCAACACUCUUCGGAAGGUUGUGUUAUAGCUACCAUAGUUCAUAGUGUCUGUGAUCGAGGAAGCUAAAGGACUUAAACACUCAAUGAAGACAGCGUCCCUUUGACGAUACGUGGCGUAAGCGACAAGUCCCUCUAACGAGAGAAUUGACCAUGCGCUUACGAUGUCCCGGAGCGGCGUUGUCUUAACGUAUGAAAGAGUCCUACAGAUGUUGGUAUAACGGUCUUGAUCGACCCGUCUUGAAACACGGACCAAGGAGACCAACAUAUGCGCAAGCAUAAGAGCUCUAAAACUCGCAUGCACAAUGAAAGUGAUAAGGUCUGAUGAUGGUCACAUCUGCAAGACCGACCGAUCUUGCGUCUGCGGACGCGGGAUUGCGUUAGAGCGCAUCUGUUGGGACCCGAAAGAUGGUGAACUAUUCCUGAAUAGGAUGAAGCCAGAGGAAACUCUGGUGGAGGUCCGUAGCGGUUCUGACGUGCAAAUCGAUCGUCAAAUUUGGGUAUAGGGGCGAAAGACUAAUCGAACCAUCUAAUAGCUGGUUCCCUC
RNAcentral lists this unclassified non-coding RNA (1884 nucleotides) under uncultured fungus. RNAcentral describes it as "sequence contains 18S rRNA gene, ITS1, 5.8S rRNA gene, ITS2, 28S rRNA gene". The stretch from base 800 to 1884 matches the Rfam family "Eukaryotic large subunit ribosomal RNA", at positions 1 to 961 of the family's 3401-position model. Lineage: Eukaryota; Fungi. The record is from RNAcentral.